UCGAUUGAGUUUGAUCCUGGCUCAGGACGAACGCUGGCGGCGUGCUUAACACAUGCAAGUGGAGCGACGAACCAGGGCUUGCCCUGGGGCAAAGCCGCGAACGGGUGAGUAACACGUGGGUAACCUGCCCCGAUGACCGGGACAACCCGAGGAAACUCGGGCUAAUACCGGAUGUGUACGUGUGCCAUCAGGCGCACGUGGAAAGGAAGCUUCGGCCUCCGCACCGGGAUGGGCCCGCGGCCCAUUAGCUUGUUGGUGAGGUAACGGCUCACCAAGGCCGCGAUGGGUAGCUGGUCUGAGAGGACGAUCAGCCACACUGGGACUGAGACACGGCCCAGACUCCUACGAGAGGCAGCAGUGGGGAAUCUUGCGCAAUGCGCGAAAGCGUGACGCAGCAACGCCGCGUGGGGGAAGACGGCCUUCGGGUUGUAAACCCCUUUCAGUUGGGACGAAGCUGGCCUCGUUAACAGCGGGUGCCAGUGACGGUACCUUCAGAAGAAGCCCCGGCUAACUACGUGCCAGCAGCCGCGGUAAUACGUAGGGGGCAAGCGUUGUCCGGAAUCAUUGGGCGUAAAGAGCGUGUAGGCGGCUCGAUAAGUCCGCCGUGAAAGUCCAGGGCUCAACCCUGGGAUGCCGGUGGAAACUGUCAGGCUAGAGUCCGGAAGGGGCGAGUGGAAUUCCUGGUGUAGCGGUGAAAUG
RNAcentral lists this ribosomal RNA (699 nucleotides) under uncultured bacterium. Its description in RNAcentral is "bacterial SSU rRNA". It matches the Rfam family "Bacterial small subunit ribosomal RNA", at positions 1 to 688 of the family's 1533-position model. The record is from RNAcentral.